This 50-nucleotide transfer RNA is filed under the name Ostryopsis intermedia. Its description in RNAcentral is "tRNA-Lys". Lineage: Eukaryota; Viridiplantae; Streptophyta; Magnoliopsida; Fagales; Betulaceae. The record is from RNAcentral.
GGGUUGCUAACUCAACGGUAGAGUACUCGGCUUUUAACCGACUAGUUCCG